Molecule: non-coding RNA, 326 nt
Organism: Poecilia reticulata (guppy)
Lineage: Eukaryota; Metazoa; Chordata; Actinopteri; Cyprinodontiformes; Poeciliidae
Source: RefSeq, a predicted model, not a curated record
UGCAUGGCGUCACUCCCAGGCAGUAGGUGGGUGUGGUCUUCACUGACUGGUUGAACAUAAAAGCCUGAAUGCUGACACACACACAAACACACAUUCACUCAGAGAACACAGUAGCUGUUUCUCUCUUCCUCUGAUCCAUUUUCCUCCAGCUGAAGUGACAUCUAUAAGACCUGGACUUUUCAGUAUCUUGAAAAGUUCUUGGGAACGUCUGUAGCUGACAAGUUGUUGGAAAGCAAAUAUGUCUCUGCCAUUGUCCUUCCUGAUMUGUCUGUCAGUCUUCAACCUGUGUUUGGCAACUGGGCCUGUGGAGAAAGUCAUUGAAAUCG